UUGAAAUUGAAUGUGGUCGAUUAUUUUGUUAGGACUUCAAUUGACCAAAUGAUUAAAUUAAUUUACGAUCUACAAUUUUUGGAUAUGUAAGUUAGAUAUAAGUUUAGAUUUGGGAUACAUUUGCUAAUAAUGAAAGAUAGAGGGUUGGAUUAUAUUAGUUGGAAGAUUAGAGAUUUCCUUUGCAAAUAUAGGUUUUUAGGCUACUAAUUACCUAUAAUUAGCCCCACUUGUUAUCCAUCACCACCAUACAUUUGGAUCAUGG
This 262-nucleotide long non-coding RNA is filed under the name Olea europaea (common olive). RNAcentral's name for it is "long non-coding RNA (OEUR_LNC012704)". Lineage: Eukaryota; Viridiplantae; Streptophyta; Magnoliopsida; Lamiales; Oleaceae. The record is from RNAcentral.